GGCUGGUCUGAAGGUAGUAGUGAAUUAGCUCAACUGAUUGUUCACAGUCAGUUACAGAUCAGACUUCUACUCUUUCCCCUCUUCUCACUACUGCACUUGACUACUCUUAA
This 110-nucleotide Y RNA is filed under the name Pan paniscus (pygmy chimpanzee). Its description in RNAcentral is "Y RNA (ENSPPAG00000003690.1)". It matches the Rfam family "Y RNA". From Rfam's summary of the family: Y RNAs are components of the Ro ribonucleoprotein particle (Ro RNP), in association with Ro60 and La proteins. The Y RNAs and Ro60 and La proteins are well conserved, but the function of the Ro RNP is not known. The record is from Rfam by way of RNAcentral. Lineage: Eukaryota; Metazoa; Chordata; Mammalia; Primates; Hominidae.